This is a long non-coding RNA of Talpa occidentalis (Iberian mole), 512 nucleotides long. RefSeq lists it as uncharacterized. The transcript is spliced from 4 exons. Lineage: Eukaryota; Metazoa; Chordata; Mammalia; Eulipotyphla; Talpidae. The record is from RefSeq and is a predicted model, not a curated record.
CAGAGUCCAGUGCCCUCAUUUCAAGUCUGAGGAAACGAGUCCAGAGGAAUUAAGAAGCCUGCCUAAGUCUGAGCAAGUAACCCUAAACAGGGAGCUGACAUCAUUGUGGCUGGAAGUCUGGAAUUAUUCAUAAGUCAGACCCAGAUUCCAGCAGAUUUUCCGAAGAGAGGAAAAGAGGAAGAAAGAGGUAGAGAGGAUUCAUUCCCUGACAUCCAGCAUUCUACUUUCUACUCAUCCAAGAGGAAUCAUACAUUAUUGUUUUUUAUAUCUUCAUGGUGUUUUCCACAACAGCUGCAUCAUUUCAGAAUCUCACCAACAGUGCCAUUUGCUUUAAAAAUCAUCCAUUUCAGAAUGUUCUGAUGACAGAUACUAAAUUCAUCAUUGAGUGAUUUCUGAAAUCACAGCAUGUGAUUCUCAGUCAGGGCCUGGUUUUCUAAACCACAUAGAAGACCAAUAAAUAUUUGUAAAAUGAAAAACUGAGCAACCCCAAGUUUUUGUUGCUUUUUCUCAUU